UGCCUCCUCGUUAUUCAAACCACUGCUCUCUCUCCCCACCCUAUUUGUGCAAAUCUCGCCAAUCCUUUAAGUCUCAAAUCAAAUCCCACUUCCUCAUUCAAGAUUUUCCUGAGUCUUCUAGCUUUGAAAUUCACCUUUCCUCCUCUGAUGCUGUUGUGUUCCGUUGCAAUUCAUAAUUUACUUCCUCUUCAUGUGGUCAUGCUUUAUCUUCCCAACUAGAAAGGCAACUUCUUAAAGGUGAAAGCCAACUCAGCAACAUCUCUUUAAGGAGAUAAUAUGAAGAGGCAUCAGCUUUUGUUCUGAUACCAUCAACAAUGAUCCAGAUGAAAAGGAAUAUGGUUCAACCUCCAUAUUUCUCAUAAAGAGAAAACUGAGGUCCAGAGAAGUGAAAUGGCUUAUCCAGAGGCAGUCAGGAGCCUUGUUUGCUGCAUGUGUGCCAGAACCUCGGAGCAGGAAACAUGCCAUCAGAAUGAAUGUGUCUGCCUGGCAAGGGCAGGGCAGAGCGGAAUCGAUUACAGAGAGGAAGGCGGGCAGUUGAAUGGGAUGCUGCCUAAAGAGAACCCAGCAGAUCCGUUCACUCUGCGAGCCAGUCUUGACCUUCUGCGCCUUAGGACCAUCUCCCUAGGACCACCAGCAUGAAGUUCAUGUGUCAAGAAGAAGUCGUCUGUGUUCUCCAAAAGCAACUUCAUGACCAGUUUUGAAAUAAUUCAAAACAUUUGCUCUCUUCAGAUCAGCUUCCUUCAAGCCAAUGUUUAUUUAAUUCAUAUGUCUGAAGUUUUCUGGCUCUUGAAAGUCAACAUUCUUGGUCUCCUCCCCUGUCCCAGCAUGUUUAAGUUGAGAUGGUGUUCUUUCUUGUUUCCUUAAGAGCUCUUGCCAAGUCACUGGGCAUGUCUCUCUUGUUCAUCUUCUGAAAAUCUUCAAUAAAUACAUGUCCUGAUUCUCCCA
This 945-nucleotide long non-coding RNA is filed under the name Sus scrofa (pig). RNAcentral's name for it is "lncRNA (ENSSSCG00030030302.1)". The record is from RNAcentral. Lineage: Eukaryota; Metazoa; Chordata; Mammalia; Artiodactyla; Suidae.